This 459-nucleotide long non-coding RNA is filed under the name Anser brachyrhynchus (Pink-footed goose). Its description in RNAcentral is "lncRNA (ENSABRG00000010105.1)". Lineage: Eukaryota; Metazoa; Chordata; Aves; Anseriformes; Anatidae. The record is from RNAcentral.
UUCUAUGUUAGUGAGUUGUUACAGCUUUUAUUUUUUUAUUUAUUUUUUUUUUUUUGGUGCAGGGGGGAGGCAUGAAACAAAGCCAAGAAACACAUUAUCGUACCCUCUAGUGAAUGAAGACACUUGGUUCAGGUGCCUGUUUGAUCUACUGCAUGCCUUUGCAAGGAAAACAUUCACGAUAUGCUGCCACAGUUUCAUCUGGAUUUCCCUGGGCCCAGGAGCAUGCUUCCAUUUUCUGUGGAUCACUAUGUUCCUUGUACAGUUAAUUGUGUGUUUAUAUGGAAAAAAUGUUUAAAAAAAAAGGAAAAAAAAAGUAACUAAAUAACUAAAUACAACCAUAAGCCUUCUUGCUUGUCCUUAUUAUUUUUUCCUCAGAAUAGAAGAGAUAUAAAAAAAGAUUACCUCUUUGAUGAUAUCUUUAAUUAGUCAUUUCUCAAAUAAAUUUGAGAAAGUAUUUCA